CUCGGUGCAAGGAUCACAGAGCUGCAGUGGAACCAAUAGUUCCCUUGUCAUCACGAAGGAAGUCUUGAGUUCAAUUGGAACACACGAAAGGGAUGAUUUUGGGUAUGAUGGAUGUCCUGCCCUUUUCGGAUCAGAAGCAGCUGAUGACUGAACAACAUGUGCCCUUGCCACCAUCCUCCAGAAUUGAAGCAGUGGAAUACUUUCAUUCGAAAGGGAGUAGAUAACAUGUUGGCAUGUGUGAAAAUAUCGAGUUGGGUCUUGCAUGACUGAAGCUUUUGGAAUCCAUACUGGGUGGCAUAUAGGAGCUCAUUCUCAUUGAGAUACCUCAUUGUGUUUUAUCUCAGAAUCAAACCAACCUUUGGGUGAAACCAACCUUUCGGUUAAUGACAGUUUUACUUUUCUUUAACAUGUAUGUCUCGUAAAAUUAUGAUAUUAGCUUUCGUGCUGCAAAAAUGCUGUGUAUUUGCUUGCUUCAACAUCACAUAUAUACUACAUCAAUGGAUGUCCAAACCAAAUGAGCUUCAUGGCCCUUUAUGAUCCACACUUUGAUU
Molecule: long non-coding RNA, 551 nt
Filed under: Schistocerca americana (American grasshopper)
Lineage: Eukaryota; Metazoa; Arthropoda; Insecta; Orthoptera; Acrididae
Description: uncharacterized LOC124615993, transcript variant X2
Source: RNAcentral